CACACACACACACACACGUACGUUAUUAGCGGAUGUUUGUAACUUCAUGUCCCUGUGGCCUGAUACUCUUUCACUCUGAUAGUGUUCAGACUGGAAUGUGUGUAUUCCCCUGAAGUCAUUUUGAUGCUCUGCACCACCACAGAGACACUAAGACCAGGCAGACAGCAGUGAGAAUAGACAGUAGGGGAGAUAAGAGGAGAGACAGUAGGGGAGAUAAGAGAAGAGACAGUAGGGGAAAUAAGAGGAGAGACAGUAGGGGAGAUAAGAGGAGAGACAGUAGGGGAGAUAAGAGAAGAGACAGUAGGGGAAAUAAGAGGAGAGACAGUAGGGGAGAUAAGAGAAGAGACAGUAGGGGAGAUAAGAGAAGAGACAGUAGAGGAAAUAAGAGGAGAGACAGUAGGGGAGAUAAGAGAAGAGACAGUAGGGGAAAUAAGAGGAGAGACAGUAGGGGAAAUAAGAGGAGAGACAGUAGGGGAGAUAAGAGGAGAGACAGUAGGGGAGAUAAGAGGAGAGACAGUAGGGGAGAUAAGAGGAGAGACAGUAGGGGAGAUAAGAGGAGAGACAGUAGGGGAGAUAAGAGGAGAGACAGUAGGGGAGAUAAGAGAAGAGACAGUAGGGGAGAUAAGAGGAGAGACAGUAGAGGAUGUCUGACGAUGAUGUGAAAAACAGAUCAAACCACUUCCCAUUUAACUGGAGGAAAGCAACCAGCCAACCAGAGACCAGACACUAGCAGCAACCAGCCAACCAGAGACCAGACACUAGCAGCAACCAGCCAACCAGAGACCAGACACUAGCAGCAACCAGCCAACCAGAGACCAGACACUAGCAGCAACCAGCUACAAGCAGAUAGUCCCUUUUCAUGUUCAAGAUGACUGUUUCCCACAUAGCAGAUACAAACAGAAAUCCAUGAGUAUGACACAAAAGAGUGAGGGUUAUGGUUACAGUACAGCCUGUACCAGACCAGAACAUGUUGAGGUGGUUUGGCUGAAGGUACAGUACAGCCUGUACCAGACCAGAACAUGCUGAGGUAGUUUGGCUGAAGGUAUAGUACAGCCUGUACCAGACCAGAACAUGUUGAGGUGGUUUGGCUGAAGGUAUAGUACAGCCUGUACCAGACCAGAACAUGUUGAGGUAGUUUGGCUGAAGGUACAGUACAGCCUGUACCAGACCAGAACAUGCUGAGGUAGUUUGGCUGAAGGUAUAGUACAGCCUGUACCAGACCAGAACAUGUUGAGGUAGUUUGGCUGAAGGUACAGUACAGCCUGUACCAGACCAGAACAUGUUGAGGUGGUUUGGCUGAAGGUAUAGUACAGCCUGUACCAGACCAGAACAUGUUGAGGUGGUUUGGAUGAAGGUACAGGAUAGAGGAAGCUUACUUCAGUCUUCACUAAAACCACAAUCUCAAGUGCAUUGUUUUCCCCCAUAGACUUGUAUAAUGGCUGGUUUCCCCCAGAGACUUGUAUAUGGGGGAAACCAGUGAUUGCCAACAAGGGUUUUGCAAGUGCUAAGUCAUGUUUUGCAGAGGUGUCAAAUACUUAUUUCCCUCAUUAAAAUGCAAAUCAAUUUAUAACAUUUUUGACAUGUGUUUUUCUGGAUAUUUUUGUUGUUAUUCUGUCUCUCACUGUUCAAAUAAACCUACCAUUAAAAUUA
This 1650-nucleotide long non-coding RNA is filed under the name Salmo salar (Atlantic salmon). RNAcentral's name for it is "lncRNA (ENSSSAG00000108750.1, ENSSSAG00000121639.1)". The record is from RNAcentral. Lineage: Eukaryota; Metazoa; Chordata; Actinopteri; Salmoniformes; Salmonidae.